GCUUAACGCGAAGAACCUUACCAGGGCUUGACAUCCUUGGAACUUCUGCGAAAGCAGAGAGUACUUUAUUGGACCAAGUGACAGGUGUUGCAUGGCCGUCGUCAGCUCGUGUCGUGAGAUGUUAGGUUAAGUCCUUCAACGAGCGCAACCCUUAUGUUUAGUUGGAUUUUUCUAAACAGACUGCCUCGGCAACGGGGAGGAAGGAGGGGAUGAUGUCAGGUCAUUAUUACCCUUACGUCCUGGGCUAGAAACGCGCUACAAUGGCCGGUACAAAGGGCAGCCAACCCGCGAGGGGAGCAAAUCCCAUCAAAACCGGUCCCAGUUCGGAUUGCAGGCUGAAACUCGCCUGCAUGAAGCCGGAAUCACUAGUAAUCGUAGGUCAGCACACUACGGUGAAUACGUUCCCGGGUCUUGUACACACCG
Molecule: ribosomal RNA, 423 nt
Filed under: uncultured bacterium
Lineage: Bacteria
Description: bacterial SSU rRNA
Rfam family: Bacterial small subunit ribosomal RNA
Source: RNAcentral